UGGCCACAUCAUGUUGAAACACAAGUUCCUGUAUGAUCACCAAAGUUAAGCAAUGUUAAGCCUGUUCAGUACAUAGAUUGGUGACCACUUGAGAAUUCCAAGUGCUGUAAG
Acanthosepion pharaonis is the source of this 111-nucleotide non-coding RNA. Lineage: Eukaryota; Metazoa; Mollusca; Cephalopoda; Sepiida; Sepiidae. The record is from the annotation of a GenBank genome assembly.